GAGUUUGAUCCUGGCUCAGGAUGAACGCUGGCGGCGUGCUUAACACAUGCAAGUCGAACGGGGAUUAUUUCAUUGAAGCUUCGGCAGAUUUGGCUUAAUCCUAGUGGCGGACGGGUGAGUAACGCGUGGGUAACCUGCCUUGUACAGGGGGAUAACAGUUAGAAAUGACUGCUAAUACCGCAUAAGCGCACAGGACCGCAUGGUCCGGUGUGAAAAACUCCGGUGGUAUAAGAUGGACCCGCGUUGGAUUAGCUUGUUGGCAGGGUAACGGCCUACCAAGGCGACGAUCCAUAGCCGGCCUGAGAGGGUGAACGGCCACAUUGGGACUGAGACACGGCCCAGACUCCUACGGGAGGCAGCAGUGGGGAAUAUUGCACAAUGGGGGAAACCCUGAUGCAGCGACGCCGCGUGAAGGAAGAAGUAUCUCGGUAUGUAAACUUCUAUCAGCAGGGAAGAAAAUGACGGUACCUGACUAAGAAGCUCCGGCUAAAUACGUGCCAGCAGCCGCGGUAAUAC
This 516-nucleotide ribosomal RNA is filed under the name uncultured bacterium. Its description in RNAcentral is "bacterial SSU rRNA". It matches the Rfam family "Bacterial small subunit ribosomal RNA", at positions 9 to 526 of the family's 1533-position model. The record is from RNAcentral.